Molecule: long non-coding RNA, 377 nt
Organism: Humulus lupulus (European hop)
Lineage: Eukaryota; Viridiplantae; Streptophyta; Magnoliopsida; Rosales; Cannabaceae
Exons: 3
Source: RefSeq, a predicted model, not a curated record
UACUGGUGGUAGACAUGUGGGUUCACACCGAGCAAGACUUCAUCCUUCUACAUUAGAAGCAUUGAUAUGCACUCAAAAUUGGUUGGUAAAUGACAAAAAAGAAGCGACUCCACUAGUCACCAUGAAUGAUGAAGAUAAUGAUGUAGAUCCAACUAUGGAGCCAUACAUAGUUGAUCUUGAUGAUUAAGGUAGCAGAUCAAUAAAGAAGAUCUUGAUGACGCAUCAAAAGUGGAGUGCUAUGUUGCAUAUGAUAGUUUUAUUUUACUUUGUUCUCUUGAGAAACUCUCAAAAGUGGAGUACUAUGUUGCAUAUGAUAGUUUUGUUUUACUUUGUUCUAUUGAGAAACUCUCAAAAGUGGAAUGCUAUGUUGCAUAUGA